RNAcentral lists this ribosomal RNA (920 nucleotides) under uncultured bacterium. Its description in RNAcentral is "bacterial SSU rRNA". It matches the Rfam family "Bacterial small subunit ribosomal RNA", at positions 10 to 920 of the family's 1533-position model. The record is from RNAcentral.
AGUUUGAUCCUGGCUCAGGAUGAACGCUAGCUACAGGCUUAACACAUGCAAGUCGAGGGGAAACGAUAGAGAAAGCUUGCUUUUUCUAGGCGUCGACCGGCGCACGGGUGAGUAACGCGUAUCCAACCUGCCCAUCACUUGGGGAUAACCUUGCGAAAGUAAGACUAAUACCCAAUGACGUCUCUAGAAGACAUCUGAAAGAGAUUAAAGAUUUAUCGGUGAUGGAUGGGGAUGCGUCUGAUUAGCUUGUUGGCGGGGUAACGGCCCACCAAGGCUACGAUCAGUAGGGGUUCUGAGAGGAAGGUCCCCCACAUUGGAACUGAGACACGGUCCAAACUCCUACGGGAGGCAGCAGUGAGGAAUAUUGGUCAAUGGGCGAGAGCCUGAACCAGCCAAGUAGCGUGCAGGAUGACGGCCCUAUGGGUUGUAAACUGCUUUUAUAAGGGAAUAAAGUGAGCCUCGUGAGGCUUUUUGCAUGUACCUUAUGAAUAAGGACCGGCUAAUUCCGUGCCAGCAGCCGCGGUAAUACGGAAGGUCCGGGCGUUAUCCGGAUUUAUUGGGUUUAAAGGGAGCGUAGGCCGGAGAUUAAGCGUGUUGUGAAAUGUAGAUGCUCAACAUCUGCACUGCAGCGCGAACUGGUUUCCUUGAGUACGCACAAAGUGGGCGGAAUUCGUGGUGUAGCGGUGAAAUGCUUAGAUAUCACGAAGAACUCCGAUUGCGAAGGCAGCUCACUGGAGCGCAACUGACGCUGAAGCUCGAAAGUGCGGGUAUCGAACAGGAUUAGAUACCCUGGUAGUCCGCACGGUAAACGAUGGAUGCCCGCUGUUGGUCUGAAUAGGUCAGCGGCCAAGCGAAAGCAUUAAGCAUCCCACCUGGGGAGUACGCCGACAACGGUGAAACUCAAAUGAAUUGACGGAAGG